GAUGAACGCUGGCGGCGUGCCUAAUACAUGCAAGUCGAACGCUGAAGGAGGAGCUUGCUCUUCUGGAUGAGUUGCGAACGGGUGAGUAACGCGUAGGUAACCUGCCUGGUAGCGGGGGAUAACUAUUGGAAACGAUAGCUAAUACCGCAUGACAACAGUUAUUGCAUGAUAACUGUUUAAAAGGGGCAACUGCUCCACUACCAGAUGGACCUGCGUUGUAUUAGCUAGUUGGUGAGGUAACGGCUCACCAAGGCGACGAUACAUAGCCGACCUGAGAGGGUGAUCGGCCACACUGGGACUGAGACACGGCCCAGACUCCUACGGGAGGCAGCAGGAGGGAAUCUUCGGCAAUGGACGGAAGUCUGACCGAGCAACGCCGCGUGAGUGAAGAAGGGUGUCGGAUCGUAAAGCUCGGUUGUAAGAGAAGAACGAGUGUGAGAGUGGAAAGUUCACACUGUGACGGUAGCUUACCAGAAAGGGACGGCUAACUACGUG
RNAcentral lists this ribosomal RNA (495 nucleotides) under uncultured bacterium. RNAcentral describes it as "partial 16S ribosomal RNA". It matches the Rfam family "Bacterial small subunit ribosomal RNA", at positions 28 to 507 of the family's 1533-position model. The record is from RNAcentral.